This 261-nucleotide ribosomal RNA is filed under the name Clostridioides difficile. RNAcentral's name for it is "partial 23S ribosomal RNA". It matches the Rfam family "Bacterial large subunit ribosomal RNA", at positions 665 to 925 of the family's 2925-position model. Lineage: Bacteria; Bacillati; Bacillota; Clostridia; Peptostreptococcales; Peptostreptococcaceae. The record is from RNAcentral.
GCCGUAGCGAAAGCGAGUGUUAACUGAGCGUUCAGUAACUUGACGUAGACCCGAAACCGGGCGACCUACCCAUGAGCAGGAUGAAGCGAAAGUAAAAUUUCGUGGAGGUCCGAACCCACGAGCGUUGAAAAGCGCGGGGAUGACUUGUGGGUAGCGGUGAAAUUCCAAUCGAGCCCGGAGAUAGCUGGUUCUCCCCGAAAUAGCUUUAGGGCUAGCCUCAAGGUGAGAGAUACGGAGGUAGAGCACUGAAUGUCCUAGGGG